RNAcentral lists this ribosomal RNA (497 nucleotides) under uncultured bacterium. RNAcentral's name for it is "partial 16S ribosomal RNA". It matches the Rfam family "Bacterial small subunit ribosomal RNA", at positions 28 to 507 of the family's 1533-position model. The record is from RNAcentral.
GAUGAACGCUGGCGGCGUGCCUAAUACAUGCAAGUCGAGCGAACAGACGAGGAGCUUGCUCCUCUGACGUUAGCGGCGGACGGGUGAGUAACACGUGGAUAACCUACCUAUAAGACUGGGAUAACUUCGGGAAACCGGAGCUAAUACCGGAUAAUAUAUUGAACCGCAUGGUUCAAUAGUGAAAGACGGUUUUGCUGUCACUUAUAGAUGGAUCCGCGCCGCAUUAGCUAGUUGGUAAGGUAACGGCUUACCAAGGCAACGAUGCGUAGCCGACCUGAGAGGGUGAUCGGCCACACUGGAACUGAGACACGGUCCAGACUCCUACGGGAGGCAGCAGUAGGGAAUCUUGCGCAAUGGGCGAAAGCUUGACGGAGCAACGCCGCGUGAGUGAUGAAGGUCUUCGGAUCGUAAAACUCUGUUAUUAGGGAGGAACAAAUGUGUAAGUAACUAUGCACGUCUUGACGGUACCUAAUCAGAAAGCCACGGCUAACUACGUG